AGUGAACGCUGGCGGUAGGCCUAACACAUGCAAGUCGAACGGCAGCACAGUAAGAGCUUGCUCUUACGGGUGGCGAGUGGAGGACGGGUGAGGAAUACAUCGGAAUCUACUUUUUCGUGGGGGAUAACGUAGGGAAACUUACGCUAAUACCGCAUACGACCUACGGGUGAAAGCAGGGGAUCUUCGGACCUUGCGCGAUUGAAUGAGCCGAUGUCGGAUUAGCUAGUUGGCGGGGUAAGGGCCCACCAAGGCGACGAUCCGUAGCUGGUAUGAGAUGAUGAUCAGCCACACUGGAACUGAGACACGGUCCAGACUCCUACGGGAGGCAGCAGUGGGGAAUAUUGGACAAUGAGCGCAAGCCUGAUCCAGCCAUACCGCGUAGGUGAAGAAGGCCUUCGGGUUGUUAAGCCCUUUUGUUGGGAAAGAAAAGCAGCAGGUUAAUACCCCGCUGUUCUGACGGUACCCAAAGAAUAAGCACCGGCUAACUUCGUG
This 492-nucleotide ribosomal RNA is filed under the name uncultured bacterium. RNAcentral describes it as "partial 16S ribosomal RNA". It matches the Rfam family "Bacterial small subunit ribosomal RNA", at positions 29 to 507 of the family's 1533-position model. The record is from RNAcentral.